CAGUGGGGAAUAUUGGGCAAUGGAGGAAACUCUGACCCAGCGACGCCGCGUGCGGGAUGAAGGCCUUCGGGUUGUAAACCGCUUUCAGCAGGGAAUAAGCGCAAGUGAAGGUACCUGCAGAAGAAGCACCGGCUAACUAUGUGCCAGCAGCCGCGGUAAUACAUAGGGUGCAAGCGUUGUCCGGAAUUAUUGGGCGUAAAGAGCUCGUAGGUGGUUUGUUACGUCGGUUGUGAAAUUCAGGGGCUCAACCCCUGACUUGCAGCCGAUACGGGCAAGCUAGAGUUUGGUAGGGGAGACUGGAAUUCCUGGUGUAGCGGUGGAAUGCGCAGAUAUCAGGAGGAACACCGAUGGCGAAGGCAGGUCUCUGGGCCAAUACUGACACUGAGGAGCGAAAGCGUGGGGAGCGAACAGGAUUAGAUACCCCAGUAG
RNAcentral lists this ribosomal RNA (429 nucleotides) under actinobacterium SCGC AAA278-P05. RNAcentral's name for it is "bacterial SSU rRNA". It matches the Rfam family "Bacterial small subunit ribosomal RNA", at positions 352 to 793 of the family's 1533-position model. Lineage: Bacteria; Bacillati; Actinomycetota; Actinomycetes. The record is from RNAcentral.